This 501-nucleotide ribosomal RNA is filed under the name uncultured bacterium. RNAcentral describes it as "bacterial SSU rRNA". It matches the Rfam family "Bacterial small subunit ribosomal RNA", at positions 94 to 630 of the family's 1533-position model. The record is from RNAcentral.
AGUGGCAGACGGGUGAGGAACACGUGGGAACGUACCCUUCGGUUCGGAACAACUCUGGGAAACUAGGGCUAAUACUGGAUACGCGCGCGAGCGGAAAGGUUUACCGCCGAAGGAUCGGCCCGCGUCUGAUUAGCUAGUUGGCGAGGUAACGGCUCACCAAGGCGACGAUCAGUAGCUGGUCUGAGAGGAUGAUCAGCCACAUUGGGACUGAGACACGGCCCAAACUCCUACGGGAGGCAGCAGUGGGGAAUAUUGGACAAUGGGCGCAAGCCUGGCCCAGCCAUGCCGCGUGAGUGAUGACGGCCCUAGGGUUGUAAAGCUCUUUUACCCGGGAAGAUAAUGACGGUACCGGGAGAAUAAGCCCCGGCUAACUUCGUGCCAGCAGCCGCGGUAAUACGAAGGGGGCUAGCGUUGUUCGGAUUUACUGGGCGUAAAGCGCACGUAGGCGGAUCAUUAAGUCAGGGGUGAAAUCCCGAGGCUCAACCUCGGAACUGCCUUUGA